GGGCACUUAGCUCAGCGGCAGAGCACCGCUUUCACACGGCGGGGGUCACUGGUUCAAUCCCAGUAGUGCCCACCA
This 75-nucleotide transfer RNA is filed under the name Alphaproteobacteria bacterium. RNAcentral describes it as "tRNA-Val". It matches the Rfam family "tRNA". Rfam says of the family: Transfer RNA (tRNA) molecules are approximately 80 nucleotides in length. Their secondary structure includes four short double-helical elements and three loops (D, anti-codon, and T loops). The record is from RNAcentral. Lineage: Bacteria; Pseudomonadati; Pseudomonadota; Alphaproteobacteria.